AGCUUAAUAGUCAAAAUUGAUUUUAAAUUGCAAAUUUAAAGGUGGAGCAUUCCUUAAGUUU
This 61-nucleotide transfer RNA is filed under the name Trapezodirus sp. 1 EF-2015. RNAcentral's name for it is "tRNA-Cys". Lineage: Eukaryota; Metazoa; Arthropoda; Insecta; Coleoptera; Leiodidae. The record is from RNAcentral.